GAUGAACGCUGACAGAAUGCUUAACACAUGCAAGUCUUUGGCGAAGCUGUGCUUGCACAGCCUAGCCAAGGCGGACGGGUGAGUAACGCGUAAGGAACUUGCCCUGCAGUCAGGGAUAACAGACGGAAACGACUGAUAAGACCUGGUAAAGUCAGGCGGACUCAUGUCCAGCCUGAUGAAAAGAGAUGCUGCAGGAGAGCCUUGCGUCCUAUUAGCUUGUUGGUGGGGUAAUGGCCCACCAAGGCGAUGAUAGGUAGCCGGCCUGAGAGGGUGGACGGCCACAAGGGGACUGAGAUACGGCCCUUACUCCUACUGGAGGCAGCAGUGGGGAAUAUUGGACAAUGGGGGCAACCCUGAUCCAGCAAUUCUGUGUGCACGAUGAAGGUUUUCGGAUUGUAAAGUGCUUUCAGCAGGGAAGAAAAAAAUGACGGUACCUGCAGAAGAAGCGACGGCUAAAUACGUG
RNAcentral lists this ribosomal RNA (463 nucleotides) under uncultured bacterium. Its description in RNAcentral is "partial 16S ribosomal RNA". It matches the Rfam family "Bacterial small subunit ribosomal RNA", at positions 28 to 507 of the family's 1533-position model. The record is from RNAcentral.